Molecule: small RNA, 126 nt
Filed under: Marmota monax (woodchuck)
Lineage: Eukaryota; Metazoa; Chordata; Mammalia; Rodentia; Sciuridae
Source: RNAcentral
GCCAGGUGUGGUGGCUCAUGCCUGUAAUCCCAGUGGCUUGGGAGGCUGAGGCAGGAGGAUCAUGAGUCCAAAGCCAGCCUCAGCAAAAAGCAAGAUGCUAAGCAACUCAGUGAGACCCUGUCUCUA